Molecule: ribosomal RNA, 455 nt
Filed under: uncultured Gammaproteobacteria bacterium
Lineage: Bacteria; Pseudomonadati; Pseudomonadota; Gammaproteobacteria
Description: bacterial SSU rRNA
Rfam family: Bacterial small subunit ribosomal RNA
Source: RNAcentral
CAGGCCUAACACAUGCAAGUCGAGCGGAAACGAGUUAUCUGAACCUUCGGGGAACGAUAACGGCGUCGAGCGGCGGACGGGUGAGUAAUGCCUAGGAAAUUGCCUUGAUGUGGGGGAUAACCAUUGGAAACGAUGGCUAAUACCGCAUAAUGCCUACGGGCCAAAGAGGGGGACCUUCGGGCCUCUCGCGUCAAGAUAUGCCUAGGUGGGAUUAGCUAGUUGGUGAGGUAAUGGCUCACCAAGGCGACGAUCCCUAGCUGGUCUGAGAGGAUGAUCAGCCACACUGGAACUGAGACACGGUCCAGACUCCUACGGGAGGCAGCAGUGGGGAAUAUUGCACAAUGGGCGCAAGCCUGAUGCAGCCAUGCCGCGUGUAUGAAGAAGGCCUUCGGGUUGUAAAGUACUUUCAGCAGUGAGGAAGGGGAUGUCGUUAAUAGCGGCAUUUCUUGACGUUA